AUAUAUAUUUUCUUCUAAAUAUACACAACAAUAUUAGUAUGUGAAAAAAACAAAAUUUUAAAAAACACCGGAGAUGAAGAAAUAUACCGUGAGAACACCAAAAGUUUCUGGUAAGUCGAAGAACGAAAAUUCAAGAUCGUCGUUUGAAGCCAUUCUUAACAACACUGCAAUAUUCUCAAUCAAAUCAUUAAAUCAACGUAAAUCACUAAAUUGUAUACUUACCACAAUAAAAACAUCAAAUAUUUUGUAUGUAUGAAAAAGCUUAGAUGUGACCAAAUCAAAAGUGUGUAUGCAUAUAUUUUUUAUAUGUUAUAAAUGCAUAGUUACACAUGCCAUGGAUUGUAUAUAUAUAUAUAUAUAGUUUCAAAAUAUCUGUGAAAUGAAAACAUAAUAAAAUUUGCAAAAGCUACAUGUAUUUUCAUUAAAAUGAACAAAAUUCCACAUCAUCAUCAUCCAAUAUUGAAGAAAACAUUUGAUAAUGUAAAAUUCAAGGAACAAAAAACAUGUGCGUUAAAAAAAGUAAUUUAGAUUUGAAUAUAUAUGAUAUAUAAAACAAAAAUGAAACUUAUCUCAUAAUUUACAAAAAAAUCUUAUCUGAAUCUUGUUUCAAAUUUUAGAGAGCUAAAGAUAAAUUUUAACAUAAAUGAAAAUGAUAAAACUCAGAAACUUAUGCCUAAUUUAUCUAUAGAGAUGAUGUGAACUAAAAUAUACCUUUUCUUCGGUAAGAAAAGCGACCGGAUAUGCUCGAAUGAAACCAAGAUAUAAUGAAAUCAAGAAGAAGUAUUAGAAAUGGUCGAGGUUACGGAUCGAGAUAUAUAGGUAGACGCUUGAAGCAACGGGAUAAGAUUUGAUAAAUAUGAUUGCCUUUAUGUUUGUAUUUUUCUGUGUGGCCAAAAACAAAACAAAAUUGUUUCCGUAUAUGAUUACAAUAAA
Molecule: small RNA, 933 nt
Filed under: Arabidopsis thaliana (thale cress)
Lineage: Eukaryota; Viridiplantae; Streptophyta; Magnoliopsida; Brassicales; Brassicaceae
Description: ATSL015540
Source: RNAcentral